Molecule: long non-coding RNA, 3728 nt
Organism: Cannabis sativa
Lineage: Eukaryota; Viridiplantae; Streptophyta; Magnoliopsida; Rosales; Cannabaceae
Exons: 3
Source: RefSeq, a predicted model, not a curated record
AGGUUCAAUUCCUACUUAGGGUUUUUUAAUUCAUCCUUGAAUUCGAAAUGAAAGUGAAAACAAGAAUUAGUCGCACAAGUGAUUCAUAUCAUUGCUUGUACUUGAAUCAAGAUUGGAUUAGCAGGAAAAGAGUGAAUCUGUCCUUCCUAAGCGCUUUCAGUCACCCAUUAGUGCUUUCUACUUGCUGGGCUAUUCCAUGUCUUUCGUAGAGAUUUUCUUAUAUAUGUGAAUUUUUUCUCUUUUUCAGUUCAUUUUUGUUUUUUGGUCAAUUAGCCACGAUUUGAUUUUUAAACUGUCCCAAAUUUAUGCCAUAACCCACUUAUUUCCCAACAACCUAUUUCAAUCACGAUCCCCUCUCUUCCAUAACCUGAUUCUGUUUUUUUUCUUCUUCAUUUCUCAAUUAUUUUUUAGCUGUGUAUAAAUGGUCACCACUAGGUUAGGUUCGAUGUCACCUUCCUCUGCUAAAAAAAUUCAAAGAAGACUAAGAAAGCUCCUUCGAAGUCCUCUAAUCUGAAGGUUGAAGGUAAACCUAAAAUGGGUUUGAAAGGCAUUGUCAAGAAGGAAAUGUCUAAUGUCCCUGAUGUUCAGAGGCUUCUGGUUCUAUAAAUAGACCACUUCCAUCUAAGGUUGAAGCUCGUAAGGCAAACAGAACCAAGUCUUCGAAAUCAGUUGAGGAUGUAAGGCUUUAAUAAUUGUUUUUAAAUUUUUUUUAUUUUUUUUGUUUCUAUUUUUUGUUUUCAGUUAUGUGUUUUAAUUUUUUUUUCUUCCUAAUUUUCUAGGUUGUAUCCGAUUCUGACUUCGAGGAUGAAGUUUCUGAUUUGGAUUCGAAGCCUAAAGUGAAACUCACGGUUUGUAUAUUUUUUCCCAUUUUUGUUCUUUUUAAGUUGUAUUUUUUUUUUCACUGUUUGGGUUUUUUUUUUUUUUUUGAUGUUUUAUAUGUUUGUCUUCAUAUUUUUUUUUUUUGAGUAUUUUAAAAUUUAUGUGUGUAUUUGUUUAAGUUUUUCAAUUUUAAGUUAUUUUUGUGUUAUUUUUUAGUUUUUAUUGUUUUGUUUUGUUAUUAGCAUUUUAUUUUCCCUAUUUAAUAAAAUUAAUUCAUGGUAAACUGUUUAUUAUUUUUAUUUUUGGUGAUUAGUUGUUUUUUAGUUUUUAAUGUAUUUUUUAAGGCUUUUUGUGUUUUUGUUUUCAUUUGUGAGAAAAUGAAACUUUUGUAAUUUUUAUGUAUUUUUCUAAAUCGUUUUUAAGUUUCGAUUUUUUGUUUAUGUGGGUUUUUAUUUUUAUCAAUUGUUUUUAUGUAUUUUUUCAGUUGUUUUUGUGUUGUUUAAGUUAUUUUUAUAGUUAAUAAUUUUUCAAGUUUUUCCAUAUUUUUUUUAUAGUUGUUAUUAUGUUAUUUUUUGGUUGUUCAACUUAUAGUGUCCAAUCUGUUUUGUUUGUUUUUUAUUAUACUGUUUUAUAUCAUGUUUUUUUUAGUUAUUUUUUUUAUUUUUUUAGAUGUUCAGCUAAUGUUGCCAUUUAUGUUUUUUUUUUUUUUUUAAAUUUACUUUGUUGAUUAUUUUUUGAGUUUUUGUAUUGUAUUUUUUUUUUCAGGUUCAUGCUUGAAGAUUUCGAUAUUCCAAUUAAAAAUUCUCUUAAGGUGUAUUUUUUGUUUAUGUUUUUUUUCCUUGUAUCUUUCUAUUUGUGUUCUUGGUUUAGUUAUUUGAUUUUUUAUUGUAUAGUUGUUUUAUAGUUUGUUUUAUUGUUUUUGUGAUGUUUGUUUUCAACUAUUGCAGGAAUGGAAUUUUAUAUAUGACUAAAAAAAAUUUUUUCUUGCAUAAGUUGUCUCCACAGCUUUCUACAAGUUUAUCCGUAAUAUUAAGUCUUGUCUUUCUUCUAAGCAACUUUAAAUGUUUUCAAAAACUUAUUUUGGACAUUUCCGUAAGCUUCUUGAGUUUACAGUCCAACUCGAAGAUUUUCACGGGUUGUUGUUGAGGGAGGUUCAGCGGCCUAACGAUGUUGAAUUGUGGGUAAUGAUUCGUGGUUUUAGGCUUAGGUUUAGCAUUGAGGAGUUUGCAUCGAUAACAGGUUUAGAUUGUGAAGGUGACUAUAGUGUGUUGGAUUUUAAGCAAGAUGUUAACAGUCUUUGUGUGAAAUAUUGGCCGACCUCCACCUCUAUUACCAAAGAAUCUGUUAGGAAAUGUUUAACAACAAAGAGGUGGGGUGAUUCUUAUGAGGAUGUUGUUAAGUUGGUUGUUUUUUAUUUUCUUGAAUAGUUUUUGCUUAGUGGUACUAAGCAUAAAAAAAAUUCAUGGUCCAUUUUAGAUAUUGUAGAUAGUGGUAGGUAUAAUGAGUUUGUUUGGGGCAAAAUUCUUUUGAAUUGACCAUUUCGUCGUUGAAGGGUAAGCUUGACAGUUAGGUUGAUAGUGUAAGAAAGGCUAAGAGUUUGGGAAAGAGGCCUAGUGUAGGUUAUACUUUUUGAUUGAUUGUCCUCAUGUAUUCUAAGUUUUGUUUUAUGAGUGUUGCAAAUACAUGAAUGAGAAUAUUUCCAAAAGGAAAUUUCUUGUAUUCCAAGGUUUGUUUAGUGGGCUUGUAGCACCCAGCGAACUUUCAAAAUUUUGAAAACUACAAUUUUUUAUGUUUCCAAAGAUAAGUUGAAGCUUUCUAAUAUGAAUUACUUCUGUUGAGUUUAAAUCCUUGAAACUGAGUAGUUUUAAGUUUAACACUGAUUACAAUUCUUACAAGAGUAAGUCUGUUCAGGAAGAAGCUUUUGUGGGUAAGAGUGACAUAUCUAUCAAACUUAAUGGUUUUUUUGAAAAAAUGGAUGGUUUGGAGGUUAAGAUUGAUUUGCUGCACACUCCCCAACAGCAGUGGCGGACCCAGAAUUUAAAGUGAGGAGGGGCGUAAAUAAAUUUAAAAAGAAAAUAUUAAGUGUAGUUAGUGGGGUUUGAACCUUUACCCUCUAACCUAUUUACCAACUACCUUAACCAUUACACCAAGGUUACUAUUAUAUGUAUAAAUAUCAUCUUUUAAUACAAAUAUAUGUUGUAACUAAUUAAAAUACAUAUACAUUUUUUUCUCGAUUUUUUUUUCAGGGGGGGCGACUGCCCCCCCUCGCUACAAUGUGGGUCCGCCCCUGCCCAACAGAAUAUAUCAUCUGAUUUGGUUGAGUUGAAAGAGUUCAUUGUUGCCCAGUUUAUUUAUUUUGCUACCCAAUGGCUACAAUGCAGACACAGUUUUCAUCCGUGCUUGUUGAUUUUGUUGCUAAGCACAAAGGUAGCGACUCUUCCAAUGAUGAUGGUGGUAGUAAUAAUGAAGAACAUAUUGAAUCAGACGGUAAUAAAGAAGCAGAUGAUAAUGAAGAAGCAGAUGAUAAUAAAGAAGAGUAGGAUGAUAAAGAUGAAGAUUUAGAGGAAGGUAGUGGUGAUGAAGAGGAGGAGGGUAGUGAUGGAGAACAAAAAGAUGCAGAUGAUAAUGAUGAUUUUGAGUCAAAAGAAAAAGAUGAGAAGGGCAGUGAUGAUGAAUGCGAUGAUAGUGAGAAGAAAGUAGAUCAUUAGACAAUGUAACUAUGUUUUCGUUACUUUGUAUGUCAUAUUUUAUUGUAAUUCCAAGUUUAUGGGGUAAAUAGCGGCAUAAGUACCCAAAGUUUUAUGUGUGUAAGCGGCAUAAGUACCCAAUGUUUGUAAAACUGUAAUUUUCUUCUAGUUUUGUCAGCACAGACUCUGUUUUAAAUUUAUUAAAAGAACGUUUGGAAGUAA